Callorhinus ursinus (northern fur seal) is the source of this 211-nucleotide non-coding RNA. The record is from RefSeq and is a predicted model, not a curated record. NCBI's taxonomy places the organism in Eukaryota, Metazoa, Chordata, Mammalia, Carnivora, Otariidae.
GUGCUCUUCGGAUCUCUCCAGACUGUGCCCUCCAAGGUCGUGUAUCAGUACAUCUAAGGCAGUCACCUUUUCUGCAUCAGGCUCUAGCCUGUGAAGGACUGAACCAUAUGGGAAAGGAGUGAAGUAGAAAUGGGGAAAUACAUCCCCUCACUGUCUCGAGGAUUCCUUUUCAAAGCUGCUGUUGAAUAAAUAGACCUUCUGUGUUGUCUUC